AUCGGUUCAUGAACCCGGCCAAGACUAAACCUCAGCCGCGACUAGACCGGCUGCUCUUUGCCAGUUUGUGGUUAUACAUUCUGGUUGAGUUUAAAAAAUUUUUCCUACCUAACUGCGUUGUAACACACCGACCAGAAAGUUUAUUCUCUUCCGUUCUUCAACUUUCAUUCGAUUCUUCCUUCCCCGACCAUGCACAAACACACCUCCACCCAUGAUCCCAUCUUCAAGUUCGACUCCACCAAAGAGAACUUUUUCUGUUCUUAGACUCUUCCUGCCGAUUUAUUGACGACAAAAUUUGUCGCGACCGUGAUGAUAACAGUGAUGACUUCCGCCGACGAUUGACGAGUACUGACAACGGAAGUUUAUCUUUUUCAUGCUUCCACACCCCGCUGAUCCUUUAGUAAAUUGAGCAAAUUUUGCUUUUGCGAUUUUUCACUUUGCUGCUACUUGUGUUUUAUAGGUCUAUGAAGGGCUAAAUUUGGAUACAGCUAGGAGCUACAUCAACUCAUCAAAGAGUUUGGAGGCAAUAAAAAUUUUGGUUCUUUCGGUACCCCCAUGAUGCAAUGAAACAAGAAACAGGUUAUUGGGCAGUGGGGGGGCAGGAUUCACUGCGAAGGGUUACAAUGUAACUUUUCUGAUCUCUGCUUUGAUUUUCCAUGUCUUUGGGAAGAUCUGCAGUUUCUAUGUUCAUUAGUAAUUGUUUCUCCCCAACAAUGAUAGGAGAUGAAAAAAUAGAAUUGGAUACUGCCACGUGAUGCCUUUCCCAAUCAAUGGCACAUAUGGCUUUUAAAAAGAUCAUUCAAAAAGCAAACUUUUAAAAUCCACACGUUACACUUAUUUGUAUACUGGUAGUUCUUGUCUCUUACAGUUUAUAAAUUAUGCAGCCUUUGUGUGAUGUAUAUUCUCCAAUGAGAUUCUAUUGAGGCUUGCUUUCCAUCUUCUGUUUAAUUUCGUUGCCUAAUAAGAUUUCGGAAAGCCUUUUGUUAACGCCAUCAUAGUUUAAUUUUCAUGGGAGUUAAUUUGUUGAACUUUGGUUGGCCUAAAUAGAUGAGUGACUGAUCAAUGGAGGAAUGCUCCAUCAGGACUACUGCCCCAAGUUUCUUCGACCAGAACAUUCCGAGGCUUCAAUGUUGAAAGGUGUUUUGAAUGGCAGGGAUAUGUCCCCUAAAACUUACCUAAUUCUCUCAUUAACAAUGGUGGACACUUGUUUGUAUGCAAGAAAGUAGAAAUUUCACAUUCUUGUUCGAUGAUUUUGAUGAGCUUCUUUUAUUCUGUUGAACUGUAACAUUUAUUUCAGUUUGAGAAGUAUAUAUUAAUAUUGAAAUUUCAAUCA
Molecule: long non-coding RNA, 1333 nt
Organism: Mangifera indica (mango)
Lineage: Eukaryota; Viridiplantae; Streptophyta; Magnoliopsida; Sapindales; Anacardiaceae
Exons: 7
Source: RefSeq, a predicted model, not a curated record